UAAGGAAUAUUGGUCAAUGGACGCAAGUCUGAACCAGCCAUGCCGCGUGGAGGAUGAAGGUCCUCUGGAUUGUAAACUUCUUUUAUCUGGGACGAAACACUUCUUUUCUAAGAGGCCUGACGGUACCAGAUGAAUAAGCACCGGCUAACUCCGUGCCAGCAGCCGCGGUAAUACGGAGGGUGCAAGCGUUAUCCGGAUUCACUGGGUUUAAAGGGUGCGUAGGUGGGUAUGUAAGUCAGUGGUGAAAUCCCCGAGCUUAACUUGGGAACUGCCAUUGAUACUAUAUAUCUUGAAUACCGUAGAGGUAAGCGGAAUAUGUCAUGUAGCGGUGAAAUGCUUAGAUAUGACAUGUAACACCAAUUGCGGAGGCAGCUUACUAUGCGGUGAUUGACACUGAGGCACGAAAGCGUGGGUAGCAAACA
This 422-nucleotide ribosomal RNA is filed under the name uncultured bacterium. Its description in RNAcentral is "bacterial SSU rRNA". It matches the Rfam family "Bacterial small subunit ribosomal RNA", at positions 355 to 774 of the family's 1533-position model. The record is from RNAcentral.